Cannabis sativa is the source of this 2037-nucleotide long non-coding RNA. RefSeq lists it as uncharacterized. The record is from RefSeq and is a predicted model, not a curated record. Lineage: Eukaryota; Viridiplantae; Streptophyta; Magnoliopsida; Rosales; Cannabaceae. The transcript is spliced from 2 exons.
AUUCUCACAGUUUAAGGAUGAAAUCGUAAAGAAAAGGGUUUCUAGGUUUCACUACUACAAUCUAAGCCUUUAGCUUCCCUUUUUUCAAUCCAAUUUAUAAAAAGGGAAGCUAAAGGGGGUGAAAAUAUCUGCAUUGACAUUUAGAGGCAGUUUUUUGGUAAAAACUGUAGGUAUAGAAUGUAUAUAUAUCUAUGCCGUCGGUUGGGGGUUGGAAAAAAUCAGGGUUUUUUUAUAUAACCCUAUGGCGUCGGUUAUUAGGUAUUAACUGACGCCAUAGGUGCCACCUUUAUUCGACACGUGGCACCUAUGGCGUCGGUUAAUAACCGACGCCAUAGGGUUAUAUAUCAGACCCUUUCUGCUUCGUCUUCCUCACUUCAUCAUUUCAUACCUUGCUGAGCACGAAGAACAGCCACCCACAGCAGCCCCAAACCCACGAAAAAACCCUCGCCAACCACCACUAAAACAACCUCAUUCUCCCUCAUUUCUUAACCAUUUUACCCCAUUUUUGUCUUAAAAUCUUCUAUUUUCUAUACCUAAACCUAUACUGUAAAAAAGUUUAGUUUUUUUCCCCUCUAUAUACCAAACCGAACCUAUUAUAAAGAAAGGUGGUGGGUAUAACUCCGGCCACCGAUUUUAGCGGAGAAAACGUUGAGUCUCAACGUCCAUUAAGAGGUGGUCGGAUUUUUGUAGCAUUUUAUCGCCGGAUUGCGUUUAUAAGGUAAAUAUUUAUUAACUUGAUAUAUAAUAUAUAUGUAUAUAUUUUGUGUUUUAUUAUUGAAUAUGUGUUUAUAUAUAUCUUGUGUGUAUAUACUAUUUGUGUAUUUUGUGUAUUUGUAUUGUAUAUAUAUUUGUUGUGAAUGAGAAUGAGAGGUAGUAGGAAUUUAAUUAGUUUAGAGAUAAAGUUUUUAAAAUAAUGGCAGUGUGAAUAUAUAAUUGAUUAUAUAUGUAUAUAUAUUUAUAUGUUAUUUUUUUAAAAAUUAACUAUGGAAAUUAGUAACUAGCUAGUAACUUGCUACUUUGUUUAAUAACUAGUAAGUAAUUUAAUAAUUAAAAUUUUAAAUUGGUUGUAUAUUGCAUUAUGUUAUUGGUUGUGUGCUAAUAUUUGAGGGUCGACAUAUUUCGGUGUUGAUCGAAUUUGCAAUAGGUAUAUCCAUCCACUAACCUUUUGUUAGUAUAAAUAAUUAUCAAGGCAUGCUUAGUUGAGUUUGAAUAUCUUAAAUAUUCAUCCGUAGUGAAGUAGGUUCUGCGAAUACAUGUACUGCGUCGGAUGGGUGGAUAAAUUUUGUAUUGUUUAUGUUAGUUUCUUUGUUCUGUAUUGUUAUAUUUGUUUUGUUUGUUACUUUAGGCACUUUUAAAAUUUUUGGGAAUGUUAGGUUAUAAUAAACCUAUAUUUCGGGUCUUUAAAGUUAGCAUUAUCUCGUCUAUUGGUGUCUUUUGGAGCAGUUUUACGCUUGAUUUUCAUUAUUUCAGGUUCCCGGGGUGUUAAAGUUCGAAUUCAGUCAAAUGGCGAAAAACUGGGAUAAACUUAGAAAAAUUGGAAAAUUCGGUUCCAGAAGUGUCAGUAGUCGCGACCUCCAGAGAGCUAGGUCGCGACCCUUUUUCCUGGUCGCGACCCUGGUCGCGACUUCGUAAGUUAGGCAGAAACUCGGUUUUUCGAGUUUUGCCUGUAGUCGCGACCAGCUUAAAUGCUAGUCGCGACUAUGUACGGAAAUCGCAGAUUUGACCUAAUUUUGAUUUUUCACUCAAUUGGAGGCUCACAACUCAUCCCUAUAUUGAAUACGACAUUGAAGGUCAGAUCUAAGCAGAAACAGACCUAAUAGUGGAGGCAAGUGGAGAGGAAGCUAUCUUGAAGACCCGGAGCGAUACCACCUUCUAGUUUCUUUCUUUUACCCUUUUGAUUCAUCUUUAUGUUUGUUUUUAAUUCUGAAUUAAUCAUGGAUGUUUUUAGAGUUAUUAUGAACUAAAUUUCCCAAUAAGGGAGGAUGAUGAUUGUUGUUUAAGUUUAUGCCUAGUUAAUAAAUAAUUGUCAUUCCUUCA